This 205-nucleotide long non-coding RNA is filed under the name Mytilus galloprovincialis (Mediterranean mussel). Lineage: Eukaryota; Metazoa; Mollusca; Bivalvia; Mytilida; Mytilidae. The record is from RNAcentral.
CACCAGGUGGCGUAUAUAUGUGUACAUAUUGAUAAUUCGGAUAAAUAUGGCUCAGUGUUCUAUCAAGUCUUGUGAAAUAUGUGAGAGUUCUCCAGGGAGCAGGUUCUGUGUAGACUGUGAACAGUACUUUUGUAACGUAUGUGAAAUAUCACACUUAAAAACAAAAACAUGUAAACAUCACGUUUUUCAACAUGCACAUACAGUC